GUAAAUUUUGUUUCUGGCUGGAUGGGGAGACUCUCAGCUUCCUGCAACAAAGAACUAUGAAUAUUCACUCAGAGAAACCAGACAUUUGGCUUGAUAGUGUUUGAGGGCUCCCAGACCCCAGCCAGAGACCUCAUUGAGUCUGAGUGAUAAAAAUGGAGAAGCCCUUGGGAGUUUCCUUCUUGAUUUUCUCCUGGCAGCUGUGCUGUGAGUUACUGGGCUCUGGAAAUAUCAUAAAAAAGAGCAGACUGUAUGUCCAGGAGGGAAUGCACGCCAUUCUUAACUGUACUUUUCAGGUGAGAACAUUCUUCAAUUUCCACUGGUGUCUGCAGGAUCCAGGGAAAGGAUUUGUGUCUUUGACCUUAAUUCAGUCAAGCCAGAAGGAGCAGGGAGACAAAUACUUUCAAGAACUGCUUGGAAAACAGAAGUUUUAUAGUGUUUGGAAUCUCCCCGACUCUCAUCCAGGAGAUUCAGCCACCUACUUCUGUGCUUUGUGGCAGUGUCUCCCCAGCACCUGCAGCCUGUGCCAUGACCUGCAGCCGGGACCCUUGACACAGGCCUGGCCUUGCAGGUGGGAGUGA
Chlorocebus sabaeus (green monkey) is the source of this 578-nucleotide non-coding RNA. Lineage: Eukaryota; Metazoa; Chordata; Mammalia; Primates; Cercopithecidae. The record is from the annotation of a RefSeq genome assembly.